AACUCAUGAAGUUUUAGCAUCCAACCUGAUACAUGAUGAUUCAGCUUCAUUGAGUGUUGGUUCUGCUGUCACUAUUGUUCCUCACGUUUUCCCUUUUGAGGAGAGGUAACUGAUUCCAUGACCAUUAAGAAGAGUGAUAAAUGUUUUAUCUAAUUAUGCUAUUCUGUUGUUUAUGUGUUAUGACAUUUUAGUUGUUGCAUUGUAUUGAUUCUUUUGAAGGAUAAGUUAUAAGUGAAGAGCUAGAUGAUUUGUGUUGUAGCCAAAAUGAAUCGAUUUAUGAAAUUUUAUCAUGUCAGCAGAAAUUAUAAGUCACAUAAAAAGAUGAUCUUAAUUUGGUUGUGAAGUCACCGAGCUUGUAUAGACUAAAUUAACAUUUCUAGGUACAUUCAUAUAUUAUUUUUUGUUUCUUCUUGUGUUGGCUGGUCAAAGAAAUAUCUUUAAACAGAGUACACUGUAGAAGAUUACUGAUAUUAUCACUUUCUCUUUCAAACUAUCUUAAAUAUGAUAUGCUCAUGAAAAUCAUUUUUAAAUAAUACUCAUUUAUACUAUGAAGUAACGAACAUUGUAUUACAUGAGUGGUUGUAUUUAUGUAUGAAUUAUACACUAUAUGUAUGAAUUAUAUACUAUAUGAUAAACAUUAGAAAGACAUAAGUAAAGAAAAUAAAUAGGAAUACCUAUUGUUAAUGACAGUAUUGAUUAAUAUGAUGGAGUUGGAUUUUUUUUAAGAAACGAACUGCCAGUCAGACACCAUCAAAGCUCAUGAUAUAGUGGUCUCAAUUAAACAUAGGCAUAUUUGGCUUGUGUAUUUGUGCUUAUAUAUAAUGAUAUUUGUACUAUCUUUUAAACCAAUGCCUUUUUAUCUUCACUUUUGCAGUUACUUUUAUUUGAGUUCCAUUUUCUAAGCAGUUAAUUUCUACUAAUUUCUACCCAAUUUUAUUGUGUACAUAUCAAUAUUAGUAUGUGCUUCUGUGCAUAGUAAUCAACAAUUUCAUAUAUUGAUUACUGUAAAUUAUGUAAGGAUUUAAUUAAUAUUAUUUAGUCUCCUAAUUAUUGUUAAUAGUGGGCUAGAAAUUGCCCAGGAAUAUGGUUUUAUUUUCAUGGUUCUACUAUCUUCUUAUUUCUUAAAAUUAGACAAAAUGGUUUUUUUAUUAAGCAUUCUCUUUUACCUCUAUUCUUAUGGAUGUAACUUGUGACUUUUGUCGGAGUUUGUGUAACUUUCUCCAAACAUAUUAAAUGUUCUCAUGCUUCCUUUUGCCUUAUAUGAUUUGAUGAUGGUUUAAUUAUUAUAUUCAUUUCAUAUCAUGAUAAGUAAUAAAUAUAAGUAGAUAAUGGCGGUUUGUUUGGUCUCUUAUUCCGUGGUUUUGUAGGCAGAGACAGUCCACAGAGUGUAAGUUAUAGGUUUGGCACACUUUUGCUUGACUUGUCAGUGGAAAUCAUAUUCCUGCAACCCAUGUAAGUUUGUUUACUUGAUUCAAAGUUAUGGAAACCAUAUUUACUGUGGCUUGUCCUAUAGUGUUGUCUAUCUUCUUAAUUGAGGUUUCUUUUGAUAAUUUUUUUGUUAUGGUUUUAAUGUUGGGGUACUUAGGAUAUAAAAGCUCUUACCCUUUAGUUUUGGUUUGAACUGUAACUUUUUUAUUUUACGGACAUGCAGUUAAAGCAUAAAGAUACUUGCAAGAGUGAUUAUGGAAAAACAGGUUUGAAUGCACAUGAUGAUUUUUGUAGUGUUCAAAUAUGAUUUGUUGAAUUGGUUUGUUUGAGUUGUUGAAUUGUUUACUUUUAUGCAUAGGUUUAUGCACGACAUUCUUGCAGGACAAAAUACUUGGCACAUGUGAACACCUUAUUAACGGAUGUGCAAAAGACAUUCAUUCAAACCACUCCUUCUAACUCAGAUUUACAAGGCAUAUAGGAAGUUCUAACAUUCGCAAGGUAAGGUAAAGUAAAAACACAAGUCAAUAAAAGGGAUCAACAUACAUCAACCAUUCCAGAUAAAAAUACAAAA
This 1999-nucleotide long non-coding RNA is filed under the name Vigna radiata. RNAcentral describes it as "long non-coding RNA (VRAD_LNC007014)". Lineage: Eukaryota; Viridiplantae; Streptophyta; Magnoliopsida; Fabales; Fabaceae. The record is from RNAcentral.